Long non-coding RNA from Gallus gallus (chicken), 3362 nucleotides. RefSeq lists it as uncharacterized. The transcript has 3 exons. The record is from RefSeq and is a predicted model, not a curated record. NCBI's taxonomy places the organism in Eukaryota, Metazoa, Chordata, Aves, Galliformes, Phasianidae.
CCCAGGCUGCCAACUGAUCCCUCUCGUGUCUGCAGUAACCCGAAUGUAGUCUAGUAAGGUCUGCUCAAGUGAGAUGGAAAACGAAGAGGUAGGCUACAAAACAAGCUUGCGGUGAGUGUUUUCUAUGACUUGGUGUUUCUAGGACAACUUGUAUUUUUCCAUAAAAUUGAAAUGGGCUUGGUGUCGGUUGUCCCUUACUCUCACCUUGCUGUCACCAGGUCCUCUUCCUUUACCCAUCUUUAGGGCUCCCCAGUUCUGAUGGGAUCUCAGUGCCGCCUUCUGAUCCCACAAAGCUUGGCUCUGUUCUUUGCUUUUUGGGUUCCAGAACAUUUGCUACAGGUUACGGAGUGUUUCUCUUCUCUCUCUCCUUGUCUUCCAUGUUGCCUGUCGGCACCUCAGUGGACUUUCAGUGACCCAAACGCAGAUUCCUCUGAGUUGACCAAGUGUGAUGCCAAGAGAAGAGGUAGGCACCAGAACAGGCUGCUGGUGAGUGCUGUGCAUGACUUGGGGUUCUUAGAAUGACUUGCGUUCCUCCCUAACCCGUGUUUUUCAGUACUACUAUUGAGGGUUUUAACUUUGAUUCUAGGAUGGGAGACUCUGCCAUCAGAUGGCGUUGCCUGUUCUUCUCUCCCCAGUUUGCAGAGUUGGAUGUGACCUCAGCAUGGAUAAGGGGUAAGUGAUUCCUCCAUCCUGACCAGAAGGUAAUCUCUACUUGUCUUGUGCUGUGUGGAGCAGGUUGCAGUGGAGAAGUGCAGUUGUCCGGGGCGCUGCAAGGACUCUAUGGAGGCAUUUGGUGGACUUUGCAGGAACCCACAGCCAGAGAUGGAUGCCAAGAUGCACUCCUUCCUCUGUCUGGCAAGCUCUGCUGACCCCGAGGUCGUUCCCAUGCUUGCAGAGGUCCUACGGGCUUGGUGUUGGUUGUUGCUUGUGCUCACCUUGCUGUCGCUGGGUGUUCUUCCUUUACCCAUCUCAGGGCUCCUCAGUUCUGGUGGGAUCUCCAUGCCUUCUGUUGAUCCCAGAGUACUUCAAUAUGUUCUUUUAUUUCAGGUUCUGUACCAUUUCAUGCUUUUGUGUUAUGUUUUUCUUCCUUUUGUUUUACAGGAUGGAAAUGUACACCUGGUUGGAUCUACGAUGACCCAAAUGCAAUCUAGUAAGGUUUGGCCGAGUGUGGUGGGAAAGGAAGCGGUUGGCUCCUAAGCAGACUUCUGGAUUGGGGACACCAGCACCAGAUGCUCUUGCACUUCCUGACCUCCCUGGGUGGCAGCGUUGGAAGUGCCUGGACCCUUGGAAAGGGCUAAGUGAUUCCUUCAUCAUUACCAGAAUGUAGUUUGUGUUCAACAGGUGACGGUGGAGAACAGUGGCCUUCUGUUCAGCGCAAAAAGUCUACUGAGGAUCUAGGUGGAUAAAACAAGAACACAGAGCCACAGCUGGAUGCCAAGAUGCACUCCUUCCUCUGUCUGGCAAGCUCUGCUGACCCCUGAGGUCGUUUCCAUGCUUGCAGAGGUCCUAUCUGCUUGGUGUCGGUUGUGCCUUGUGUUCACUUGGCUUUCACCAGGUGUUGUUGCCUUAUAAUAUUUUUCCCACCCUGUUUCCAAGCAGGAGCUCCCCUUGGCCUCUGUGUCUUGCUCUGGCCAGGCAGAUGUAGUGCGCCAACGGUACACAGAGUGCAGAUCCUGAGCAGAACAACUGAGAGAAGCUGCCCUGGGUGAGACAGAAGUGCCCCUUGGAGUGGGGGACGCCCCGCUGGCGCUGCCUCUCGCAUCCACCGGCAGCAUGUUCCUUCUCUCUCCUUGGUGUCCGGCGCUUUGCCGUCCCCCAGGGCUCACUAAGUCCAAAUGUUCCCUGAUGGAGUCCAACUCCAGCUUGACCAACACUCACCCCAUCUUGUCCCUGCACCAGCUGGCUUAGGGCUCCCCAACAUUGCUGGCUGUCGGUGCCUUCUGUUGCUCCCAGUCAGCAUGGCUCUGUUCUUUGUCUUUGGGUUCCAGAGCAUUUGCUACAGGUUACGGAGUGUUUCUCUUCUCUCUCUCCUUGUCUUCCAUGUUGCCCGUUGGCACCUCAGUGGACUUUCAGUGACCCAAACGCAGACUCCUCUGCGUUGACCAAGCGUGAUGCCAAGAGAAGAGGAUAGGAGACUCUGCCAUCAGAUGGCGUUGCCUGUUCUUCUCUCCCCAGUUUGCAGAGUUGGAUGUGACCUCAGCAUGGAUAAGGGGUAAGUGAUUCCUCCAUCCUGACCAGAAGGUAAUCUCUACUUGUCUUGUGCUGUGUGGAGCAGGUUGCAGUGGAGAAGUGCAGUUGUCCGGGGCGCUGCAAGGACUCUAUGGAGGCAUUUGGUGGACGCAGCAGGAACCCACAGCCAGAGAUGGACGCCAAGAUGCACUCCUUCUGUCUGGCAAGCUCUGCUCACCCCUGAGGUCAUUCCCACGCUUGCAGAGGUCCUACGGGCUUGGUGUUGGUUGUUGCUUGUGCUCACCUUGCUGUCACCGGGUGUUCUUCCUUUACCCAUCUUAGGGCUCCCCAGUUCUGGUGGGAUCUCAGUACCCUCUGCUGAUCGCAGAGAAUAUGGGUUUGUUCCCUUAUCUUCAGAUUCAGUAUGUUUUCCUGCUGUUAUGUGAUGUUUGCCUUAGUUUUUUUUUUAUUUUUAUUUUAUUUCCAGGCUGCUUAUUGAUCCACCUUGGGUCUGGAAUAAACCAAAUGAUUUCUGGUAAGGUUUGACCAAGUGAGAUGGAAAAUGAAGAGGCAGUCUCCAAAACAGGCUUGCAGUGAGUAUGUCGUAUGACUUGGGGUUUCUAGCUUGAUCUCUGUUUUUUUGUAAGCCAUUUGGUUCAGUGCCUGAUAGGAAAGUUUCUUUCCUUCUAGUAUUGGAGACUAAUCCACCACGUGGUGAUGCCUUCCCUGACCUCCUUGAUUGCAGUGUGGGAUGUGCCCUGAUCCUUGGAAAGGGGUGAGUGAUUCCUUCAUCCUCACUAGAAGGUAAUUUCUACUUACUUAUUCUUGUGUCCAGCAGGUGGCACUGGAGAGUUGUGACCCUGCUGAGCAGUGCAAGGACUCUACUGAGGCUCUUGGUGGACUCAGCAGGAAUCCACACCCAUAGGUGGAUGCCAAUAUCUAUUCCUUCCCCUGUCUGGCAAGCUCUGGUGUCCCCUGAGGUCGUUCCCAUGCUUGCAGAGGUCCUAUGGACUUGUUGGUUGUUGCUUGUGCUCACUGGGCUUUCCAAGGGUGUUCCUCUUGCUUGACAACACCUUUCCCAUCCUCUAUUUCCAAGCAGGAGCUCCCUUUGGCCUCCAUGUCUCGCUCUGGCCAGGCAGAUGUGGUGUGCCAACGGAUCAAAGCCUUCAGAAUCCAACCAAAAGAAAUGAGGA